RNAcentral lists this long non-coding RNA (1087 nucleotides) under Oryctolagus cuniculus (rabbit). Its description in RNAcentral is "lncRNA (ENSOCUG00000034240.1)". Lineage: Eukaryota; Metazoa; Chordata; Mammalia; Lagomorpha; Leporidae. The record is from RNAcentral.
AUUUAAUUCAGCUUUUGGGGUGCACUUGUACUGCUUGAGUGUGAUGACAGAUAUUUGUAUGGAUUCAUCUAAACUCGGGAGGCUUCUUUUCAGGGGCUCUGCCACUAUAGGGUUUGCACAGAUGAUCCCAGCGUUCCUGGGGAAUUGUGGAAUCAAAGAUCUAUGCCCACUUCCUGUCUAACUAUAGAAUCUCACCUUCUCAUUGGCUCACAGGAACCAAUUUGAUCCAGCUCUUUAAAUACUCAAAAGGGAAAGGAGCCAAAAACAGGUUCAGAAUGCUUCUCACUGGUUUUGCUUUCCAAAUGGGCAAGGGACACACAUUUUUAACUAGUCUAUCCUAGCACCUCCCCAUACACUUACACACUUCCUUCAUGUCAGCCGUGGCAAUCACCAGAAAGGAAAGGCGACAGGCACUCAGAAACCCAUGUUGGGUUAUUUUUGUUCUUUGUAUCUGCCUCUUCCGUCUAUUCCAGACUUGUCAUACAAACGUGCCCAUGCGUAGGUAAAACUAACCUAUUCAUUUCACAGAUGGGAAAACCUCACUCUGAUGUUCCAACUGCAUCCUGUUUUGUUCUACAGAUUGCAAGGGACUGUGAUCUGGAGGAGCAUGGGGAAUGCUCAUUAAACAAGCCAAAGGCAUUUCAGCAAUUCUGAGAAAUUAUAGACAUUUCAGGAAUUUAUUUAAGAAGAGAUGUCCUUGCAAGAGUGGGAGCAGCACAUCCUUGGUGCCUCGUCCAGUGCUCUUCCCCAGGAUGGGUGUCACCACUGUGAUGGGUUCCUUCUUGAAUUCUCCCCUGUGCCUGGAGCGCAAGACCUAUUUGCAUAUAGCAUCCAAGGGGCCUGGAGUGUUGACCAAUGAUGACUCAGCACUUCUGCACUCACCGGGAGAAGAGCUCAAGUGAUAACACUAAGCCAGUCUCACUCAGGCCUGACCUGAUUCUGGCUCUGACUUUGGGGAUUAGAUCCUGGGGCUCUAACAGGACACAAAACAGAUGGAAAGAAAUCCCUGCUCUCCUGAAGUGUGGUUUCUGUUACAGCAAUGGAAGGGAAGGGGGGAAGUGGAUAAUAAAUGAAAUAACCAGACACA